This is a long non-coding RNA of Mustela erminea (ermine), 765 nucleotides long. RefSeq lists it as uncharacterized. The record is from RefSeq and is a predicted model, not a curated record. NCBI's taxonomy places the organism in Eukaryota, Metazoa, Chordata, Mammalia, Carnivora, Mustelidae. The transcript is spliced from 4 exons.
GGCCAGCUGAUCCAUUUAGGGCAGGACUCACCCUUAGGGAUGGUCACUCAGUCUCUGCUGAAAUAAAUUCCCAAGGCUUUCAUAGGAAGUGGACAUGACGGAAACAUCAUGGAAGACUCUAGCAUGUGAGGUCCACGUUACCGAAAAGAGCUCCCUGCACACAGGAGCUGACUGGCUCUGUGGUUGAGGAUUACAGCCCAGGUGAACAAGGAGGCUUGCCGGCCCUAAUCUUGUGGGCUGCGUCCCGCGGGCUGGUGUUGGCGGGCAUCCUGCAGUCUUAUAUUUCAGGCUCCACGGCCUUAGAUCCAUCAACUAUCUCUCACGCAACAGGAUUCUUCUACCACUGUCCUUAUGGAAUUUGUCAUUGGCCGUCUGAUUAAAAUGUGCUCUUGAAAAUGAAACGCAAAAUUCCAGUGUUUUGGGUUUUUUUUCUGUGGAAGAGUCACAUCGCAAGAAUCCUUCUUGAAUGAAUAUCAAUAGUGGGGCAGUUGGAAAUCAUACUUUCUUCAUUAUAUUUGGCAAAGAAAAAAUAUACUUCUUUUUAGAGGCACUCCACCCUUCAGCUGCAACUCAUUACUGUCUACCUAAAUGCACUAAACUAGCCAGAAAGCAAAUGUUUCCCAUUACAAAUGACAUUUAUCAGCUAGUCUCAGGGCUAGGUCUCCUUCAAAAUUGAUCUAGUUUGGAAGAAUGGUUAUGAGUCACUACUGGAUUUCUCAGUGCUUUCAAAGUGAAAAAAUGCAAUGGAUGAUAUGAUUAUCAUUG